Molecule: small RNA, 616 nt
Filed under: Vigna angularis var. angularis
Lineage: Eukaryota; Viridiplantae; Streptophyta; Magnoliopsida; Fabales; Fabaceae
Description: Non-protein coding transcript
Source: RNAcentral
CCUUGAACAGAGAAUUCGCAAUAGAGAAACCCUAAUCAGAAGAGAAGAGAAUAGAAGAUUGAGAAUUAGGGUUUAAGUUUGAUCAGAUUGGAAAAGGCAUCAUGUUUCCAGGGAUGUUCAUGCGGAAGCCAGACAAAGCUGCAGCACUGAAGCAGCUGAAAUCUCACGUUGCCAUGUUCGGCGCAUGGGUUGUUGUUAUUCGAGUCACCCCUUAUGUUCUUCAUUUUCUCAGUGGCGAGAAAGAAGAACUCAAGCUCGAGCUUUGACUUCUCGAUCUUCCUCGCCUGCUCAUCUUGAGGAGUAGGACGGGUCCUGGGACUCGAGACAAUCACGGAGUAAUGUUGUUAUAUAACUCUUGAAAUUGAGGCCAGGAUGGUAUUUUUAGUUUAAUUACAUUUCCUUUUUGCAUUUGGAAUGUACGUUUGUUUGGAUUACUGGUGAGAAAAUAUACAAAUUCAAUAAUCAAUUAUAUUGUUAUAAUUGAUUCUAAGAAAAAUGUGACAGGUGAAGGAUGGUUUUAAGCUAAAUAUAUGCUUUUACUGGUCUACAAGAAUAAUGUUUCAAGAAAUAUAUUUUGUAAUAAAUUAUAAUAAAAGUAUGGAAUUAUUCUUUCCAA